GACGAACGCUGGCGGCGUGCUUAACACAUGCAAGUCGAACGGAAAGGCCCUGCUUUUGUGGGGUGCUCGAGUGGCGAACGGGGGAGUAACACGUGAGUAACCUGCCCUUGACUUUGGGAUAACUUCAGGAAACUGGGGCUAAUACAGGAUAGGAGCUCCUGCUGCAUGGGGGGGGUUGGAAAGAUUCGGCGGUGGGGGAUGGACUCGAGGCUUAUCAGCUUGUUGGUGGGGUAGUGGCUUACCAAGGCUUUGACGGGUAGCCGGCCUGAGAGGGUGACCGGCCACCAGGCGCCUGCGAUACGGCCCAGUCUCCUACGGGAGGCAGCAGUCGGGAAUAUUGCACAACGGGCGGAAGCCUGAUGCAGCAACGCCGCGUGCGGGAUGCCGGCCUUCGGGUUGUAAACCGCUUUCGCCUGUGACGAAGCGUGAGUGACGGUAAUGGGUAAAGAAGCACCGGCUAACUACGUG
Molecule: ribosomal RNA, 468 nt
Filed under: uncultured bacterium
Lineage: Bacteria
Description: partial 16S ribosomal RNA
Rfam family: Bacterial small subunit ribosomal RNA
Source: RNAcentral